RNAcentral lists this ribosomal RNA (428 nucleotides) under uncultured bacterium. Its description in RNAcentral is "partial 16S ribosomal RNA". It matches the Rfam family "Bacterial small subunit ribosomal RNA", at positions 354 to 796 of the family's 1533-position model. The record is from RNAcentral.
GUGGGGAAUAUUGGGCAAUGGGGGAAACCCUGACCCAGCAACGCCGCGUGAGGGAACAAGGUUUUCGGAUUGUAAACCUCUGUCCUUGGUGACGAAGGAAGUGACGGUAACCAAGGAGGAAGCCCCGGCUAACUACGUGCCAGCAGCCGCGGUAAUACGUAGGGGGCAAGCGUUGUCCGGAAUGACUGGGCGUAAAGGGCGUGUAGGCGGCCGAUUAAGUCUGGAGUGAAAGUCCUGCUUUCAAGGUGGGAAUUGCUUUGGAGACUGGUUGGCUUGAGUGCGGAAGAGGUAAGUGGAAUUCCCAGUGUAGCGGUGAAAUGCGUAGAGAUUGGGAGGAACACCAGUGGCGAAGGCGACUUACUGGGCCGUAACUGACGCUGAGGCGCGAAAGCGUGGGGAGCGAACAGGAUUAGAUACCCUUGUAGUCC